Molecule: ribosomal RNA, 253 nt
Filed under: uncultured prokaryote
Description: partial 16S ribosomal RNA
Rfam family: Bacterial small subunit ribosomal RNA
Source: RNAcentral
UACAGAGGUCUCAAGCGUUGUUCGGAUUCAUUGGGCGUAAAGGGUGCGUAGGCGGCGGUCUAAGUCGGGUGUGAAAGCCCGGGGCUCAACCCCGGGACGCCGCCCGAGACUGGAUCGCUUGAGGCCGGAAGAGGGGAGUGGAAUUCCUGGUGUAGCGGUGAAAUGCGUAGAGAUCAGGAGGAACGCCCGUGGCGAAGGCGGCUCCCUGGUCCGGUUCUGACGCUGAGACGCGAAAGCGCGGGGAGCGAACGGG